This 254-nucleotide ribosomal RNA is filed under the name uncultured bacterium. RNAcentral's name for it is "partial 16S ribosomal RNA". It matches the Rfam family "Bacterial small subunit ribosomal RNA", at positions 796 to 1041 of the family's 1533-position model. The record is from RNAcentral.
CACGCCGUAAACGAUAAUCACUAGAUGUUGGUCUGGUUUUCCGGAUCAGUGUCGUAGCUAACGCGUUAAGUGAUUCGCCUGGGGAGUACGGUCGCAAGACUAAAACUUAAAGGAAUUGACGGGGGUCCGAACAAGCGGUGGAACAUGUGGUUUAAUUCGACACUACGCGAGAAACCUUACCUGGGUUUGACAUACUUGAGACUGCUCUAGAGAUAGGGUUUUCUGUGAGAAAUCACAGACUCAAGAACAGGUGC